UCCCUGGUGGUCUAGUGGUUAGGAUUUGGUGCUUUCAGCACUGUGGCCCGGGUUCAAUUCCUGGUCUGGGAA
Molecule: non-coding RNA, 72 nt
Organism: Sus scrofa (pig)
Lineage: Eukaryota; Metazoa; Chordata; Mammalia; Artiodactyla; Suidae
Source: Rfam